RNAcentral lists this ribosomal RNA (31 nucleotides) under Globisporangium cryptoirregulare. Its description in RNAcentral is "Pythium cryptoirregulare 28S ribosomal RNA". Lineage: Eukaryota; Oomycota; Peronosporomycetes; Pythiales; Pythiaceae. The record is from RNAcentral.
UUGGACCUGAUAUCAGACAAGACUACCCUGC